UCGACGGAAACAUGUCUAGCUUGCUAGAUGAUGUCGAGUGGCGGACGGGUGAGUAAUGCUUGGGAACUUGCCUUUGCGAGGGGGAUAACAGUUGGAAACGACUGCUAAUACCGCAUAAUGUCUUCGGACCAAACGGGGCUUCGGCUCCGGCGCAAAGAGAGGCCCAAGUGAGAUUAGCUAGUUGGUGAGGUAAAGGCUCACCAAGGCAACGAUCUCUAGCUGUUCUGAGAGGAAGAUCAGCCACACUGGGACUGAGACACGGCCCAGACUCCUACGGGAGGCAGCAGUGGGGAAUAUUGCACAAUGGGGGAAACCCUGAUGCAGCCAUGCCGCGUGUGUGAAGAAGGCCUUCGGGUUGUAAAGCACUUUCAGUUGUGAGGAAAAGUUAGUAGUUAAUACCUGCUAGCCGUGACGUUAACAACAGAAGAAGCACCGGCUAACUCCGUGCCAGCAGCCGCGGUAAUACGGAGGGUGCGAGCGUUAAUCGGAAUUACUGGGCGUAAAGCGCACGCAGGCGGUUUGUUAAGCUAGAUGUGAAAGCCCCGGGCUCAACCUGGGACGGUCAUUUAGAACUGGCAGACUAGAGUCUUGGAGAGGGGAGUGGAAUUCCAGGUGUAGCGGUGAAAUGCGUAGAUAUCUGGAGGAACAUCAGUGGCGAAGGCGACUCCCUGGCCAAAGACUGACGCUCAUGUGCGAAAGUGUGGGUAGCGAACAGGAUUAGAUACCCUGGUAGUCCACACCGUAAACGCUGUCUACUAGCUGUUUGUGACUUUAAGUCGUGAGUAGCGAAGCUAACGCGAUAAGUAGACCGCCUGGGGAGUACGGCCGCAAGG
RNAcentral lists this ribosomal RNA (833 nucleotides) under Alteromonas sp. Its description in RNAcentral is "bacterial SSU rRNA". It matches the Rfam family "Bacterial small subunit ribosomal RNA", at positions 62 to 893 of the family's 1533-position model. Lineage: Bacteria; Pseudomonadati; Pseudomonadota; Gammaproteobacteria; Alteromonadales; Alteromonadaceae. The record is from RNAcentral.